Molecule: transfer RNA, 97 nt
Organism: Serpula lacrymans var. lacrymans S7.3
Lineage: Eukaryota; Fungi; Basidiomycota; Agaricomycetes; Boletales; Serpulaceae
Rfam family: tRNA
About the family: Transfer RNA (tRNA) molecules are approximately 80 nucleotides in length. Their secondary structure includes four short double-helical elements and three loops (D, anti-codon, and T loops).
Source: Rfam
UGCCCCAUGGCUGAGUUGGUCACAGCGUCCGACUGUUAAGUUCGAGUUGAUCGAGCGGUUCAUCGGAAGGUCGUGAGUUCGAGCCUCACUGGGGCAG